This 41-nucleotide transfer RNA is filed under the name Anolis equestris. Its description in RNAcentral is "partial tRNA-Asn". The record is from RNAcentral. Lineage: Eukaryota; Metazoa; Chordata; Lepidosauria; Squamata; Anolidae.
UGAAUAGGAGGGCCUUGAUCCCACAAUAAAUUAAUUAACAG